This 480-nucleotide ribosomal RNA is filed under the name uncultured bacterium. RNAcentral describes it as "partial 16S ribosomal RNA". It matches the Rfam family "Bacterial small subunit ribosomal RNA", at positions 29 to 507 of the family's 1533-position model. The record is from RNAcentral.
AUGAACGCUGGCGGCGUGCUUAACACAUGCAAGUCGAACGAAGCAUUUGCGACAGAUUUUUUCGGAAUGAAGUUGCUUAUGACUGAGUGGCGGACGGGUGAGUAACGCGUGGGUAACCUGCCUUGUACUGGGGGAUAGCAGCUGGAAACGGCUGGUAAUACCGCAUAAGCGCACAAUGUUGCAUGACAUGGUGUGAAAAACUCCGGUGGUAUAAGAUGGACCCGCGUCUGAUUAGCUAGUUGGUGAGAUAACAGCCCACCAAGGCGACGAUCAGUAGCCGACCUGAGAGGGUGACCGGCCACAUUGGGACUGAGACACGGCCCAGACUCCUACGGGAAGCAGCAGUGGGGAAUAUUGCACAAUGGAGGAAACUCUGAUGCAGCGACGCCGCGUGAGUGAAGAAGUAAUUCGUUAUGUAAAGCUCUAUCAGCAGGGAAGAUAGUGACGGUACCUGACUAAGAAGCUCCGGCUAAAUACGUG